AACGUAGGUGGCGAGCGUUAUCCGGAUUCACUGGGCGUAAAGGGCGCGUAGGCGGUUCCGUAAGUCAGGCGUGAAAGCUCACGGCUCAACUGUGGACGUGCGUCUGAUACUGCGGUGACUUGAGGUCGGUAGAGGUAAGUGGAACUAGCGGUGUAGCGGUGAAAUGCGCAGAUAUCGCUAGGAACGCCGGUGGCGAAGGCGACUUGCUGGGCCGUACCUGACGCUGAUGCGCGAAAGCUAGGGGAGCGAACCGG
This 254-nucleotide ribosomal RNA is filed under the name uncultured bacterium. RNAcentral describes it as "partial 16S ribosomal RNA". It matches the Rfam family "Bacterial small subunit ribosomal RNA", at positions 524 to 776 of the family's 1533-position model. The record is from RNAcentral.